GGAGGGAGCGAGCGUUGUUCGGAAUCACUGGGCGUAAAGGGCGCGUAGGCGGCCGAGUAAGUCGUGUGUGAAAGACCGGGGGCUCAACUCCGUGUACUGCAUGCGAUACUGCCCCCGGCUGGAGAAAGGUAGAGGCGAGUGGAAUUCCCGGUGUAGCGGUGGAAUGCGUAGAUAUCGGGAAGAACACCUGUGGCGAAGGCGGCUCGCUGGGCCUUUUCUGACGCUGAAGUGCGAAAGCGUGGGGAGCAAACAGGAUUAGAUACCCUGGUAGUCCACGCCGUAAACGAUGGGCACUAGGCGUUGGGAGGAUUGACCCUCUCAGUGCCGUAGCUAACGCGUUAAGUGCCCCGCCUGGGGAGUACGGCCGCAAAGGCUG
Molecule: ribosomal RNA, 376 nt
Filed under: uncultured organism
Description: partial 16S ribosomal RNA
Rfam family: Bacterial small subunit ribosomal RNA
Source: RNAcentral